Long non-coding RNA from Hemicordylus capensis (graceful crag lizard), 717 nucleotides. RefSeq lists it as uncharacterized. Lineage: Eukaryota; Metazoa; Chordata; Lepidosauria; Squamata; Cordylidae. The transcript is spliced from 4 exons. The record is from RefSeq and is a predicted model, not a curated record.
AGUUGUUCAAGGUGGCAGGGAGGUCCAUAGAACUCCCCCUGCCAGCCUCCUGGAAUGAUGCAGGCCACCACAGAGGCCUAUUUCCACACGGGUGGUGGCUUCCAAAGGGGGAAAGACCAAAAAUCGGCUGAAGAAUGGGCAAAUGGCCAAUUUCUGAGUAGCUGUGAGAGACCUGAUCUGAACGGAGCAGGAGCUGAGUGUUAAUGCUUCCCUUCUCCAUGCCACAGUCCUGAUCAGUAAGGAGCAAUCCAGGGAUAGCACAAAGGUGACAUAAGCAAGCCACUUCUGUGAGGACCAAAAAAUGCCUCCGUCUUCUCUUCAUUCCAAGAUAAAGAUGUGUGAAGGCAGACAUAAGAGAAAAAGAGAACUCAAGAAGCUGGAAUUCUACGAUCUGAAAAUGCUGAAAUUGAUGCAACUGACAUUUCACAAGAGGAUGAAAAUGAUGAGCAUGCAGACUAUCCUGAAAAAUUAGAUUAGACCUUGUUAAACCUUUAGUAAUAAUUCGGAUUGUGAAGGUUUCUUUUGAAGUGCAAUUUGAAAUUUAUAUUUUUUGGAAUGUUAUGUCGGUCGGGGGGGAAACAACCAAUGUUUCCGUUGAAGUGCAAUUGAAGUUCAUAAUGUGAUGUGCUUAAAAUAAAUAAGAGAAGGUUUCUUAUGAAGUGUAAUGGGAAAUUACUUCUGCAAUGUGAUGUGUUAAAAUAAAAAAAAAGUUCAGCA